AAAUUGAACCUAACUACUGGCCAAACAAUUAAGCAAUUAAACUCAUAAUUGAAGAAACAACCAUAUAUUGGUGAAUUAUAAUCAAGGUAAAGCUACUAUCAAACAACAAUAUUCAUGGAUAAAUCACAACUCCAAAACGAUGGGUGUUUAGCCACUCAUGAUAGAAUAGAACAAUUGCAUAAUUGUUGAAUCAAUUGAAUAUACUAGAAAAAGAUGAAGAAAACUGAGAAUAUUCUGCAUCCUCACGAUCUCGUGUGUGUUUUUCCUCUAAAAUUGCGUAUCUCCAUAAAAAUAUGUCUAGUUUUGCUUUUAUACAUGUUGGGUAGGUCUAGGGCCGAAAUAACAUUGUCCCGGGAGAAAUUGGAGAAAAUUCACUUCAUUGGCGCUCUGGCUAGCACCAAGCGCCCUCCACGGUGCUCCAAUAUUUUUAAGUACUAAUUUUUGUGCCACAGGUAGUUGUGGGUGUCACCUGUCGCGCCAAAAUUCGCAAGUUUUCUUGCGCGUGUCAUCCUGAAUUGCUCCCGAAUUAUUCCUACGCAUAAAAAUAUAUUAAAUUAACAUAAAUCAACAAAUUUCACAUCCUAAAUCCGUGAAACAAAUGUAAAAUAUGAGGCGAUAUACAUACAAAUAUAUAUGUUUUGUGCUAAAUAUCAACACCCUACACUUAGACUCUUACUUUUCCUUGAGCAAUGGGACAAUCUAAUGUACCCCCAACUACAUAUAAGUCUCAAUUAUAGAUGAGCACUCUGAUUCUUAACCACAAACUUUACCCUUGACUACGA
This 782-nucleotide long non-coding RNA is filed under the name Nicotiana benthamiana. RNAcentral describes it as "long non-coding RNA (NBEN_LNC014352)". The record is from RNAcentral. Lineage: Eukaryota; Viridiplantae; Streptophyta; Magnoliopsida; Solanales; Solanaceae.